This is a long non-coding RNA of Pipistrellus kuhlii (Kuhl's pipistrelle), 161 nucleotides long. RefSeq lists it as uncharacterized. Lineage: Eukaryota; Metazoa; Chordata; Mammalia; Chiroptera; Vespertilionidae. The record is from RefSeq and is a predicted model, not a curated record. The transcript has 3 exons.
GCAAAGGAGGACACCAGCUCCAUGCAGACAGCAACCCAGAGGUCCCAACAGUCCUUCCGUCCUCACAUCACGUCGGCAGACCGAGGCCUCUACUGUGGAGUCUUCGUGGGGGCCUGGGCACCUUUGGGAUCAGGAGCCUGAGCCCAUUUGGGAGCCCUCAG